AUGGACUGCAAUCACCGAGAUCCUCAUCUCCCAGACGCAGGCGGCCAUCAUCAACACGAGGAUCGCCAUCUCACCACCCAGAAGGGGAAUUUCACCAUCGUCGAGUAUCUUGGCCGCAUGAAGGCCCUUGGCGAUGAGAUGGCUGCCAGCGGCAAGCCACUCACCGACGACAACAUGGUGUCGUACAUCCUCGUCGGGCUUGACUUCGACUACAUAUCGUUUGUCCCCUCGAUCUACGCCAGGACAGUCCCCAUCAAGCCGAACAAGCUCUACUCCCAGCUGAUCAGCUUCGAGAGCCGCCUCUCCAUGUUCGAGGGGAACUCAUCGUCGCACUCCUCCGCCAACGCUGCUUCUCGCAGCGGCCGUGGUGGCUUUCCUCGUGGCGGUGGCCGCGGCAGGAACGACGGAGGCCGUGGUCAAGGUGGUGGCCGCGGCAAUGGAGGCAAUGGCGGCGGCCGUGGAAACGGUCAUGGUGGUCGCGACAAUGGAGGCGGCAGCCGUGACGAGCUCCCGGAGGUCUUCUGUCAGAUCUGCAAGAAACCAAAUCAUAUUGUGCUCGAGUGCUAUCGUUGCUUCGACAUCGCCUUCACCAAGGAGAAAAGUGCAAGCGCCGUGUCCAACUCCUCCUACGGUGUUGACACGAACUGGUACGUUGACACAGGCGCCACCGACCACAUCACCGGCGAGCUGGACAAGCUCACCAUGAGGGAGAGGUACAACGGCCACGACCAAGUGAACAUGCCCAACGGGUCAGGUAUGAAAAUAACUCAUAUUUGUCAAGCAUAUGUUCGUACCCCUACUCGCAAUCUUCAUCUUAAGGAUGUCCUUUAUUCUCCUAAAGCCACUAAAAAUCUUGUCUCUGCCCAUCGUUUAUCAUAA
RNAcentral lists this ribosomal RNA (879 nucleotides) under Triticum aestivum (bread wheat). RNAcentral's name for it is "partial small subunit ribosomal RNA". The record is from RNAcentral. Lineage: Eukaryota; Viridiplantae; Streptophyta; Magnoliopsida; Poales; Poaceae.